This 250-nucleotide ribosomal RNA is filed under the name uncultured archaeon. RNAcentral describes it as "partial 16S ribosomal RNA". The record is from RNAcentral.
GAACGGCGGAGGAACUGUUCGGCUGCCGGAUGAUUGGGGAUCUUCAUGGUAGCGGUAUCCCAGAGAAGUUUCUGGCCGGGGGUACGGAUGGCGACGGUGCCGAGGAGGAUGGCCUCGGUCAUGGGACCGGUCUGGGCGAAGUUGCUUUCGGCGGUGGGUCCGCCGAGGCAGGCGUCAAGGAAGAGAUGAUAAUGAUUGCGGCUGGCGGGUUUGGGUUUGGGGAAGUUGCGGAACUUUUCCUCAGGCAGGA